ACCGAUAGUGAACCAGUACCGUGAGGGAAAGGCGAAAAGAACCCCGGCGAGGGGAGUGAAAAAGAACCUGAAACCGUGUACGUACAAGCAGUGGGAGCACCUUCGGGUGUGACUGCGUACCUUUUGUAUAAUGGGUCAGCGACUUAUAUUCUGUAGCAAGGUUAACCGUAUAGGGGAGCCGCAGGGAAACCGAGUCUUAACUGGGCGUUAAGUUGCAGGGUAUAGACCCGAAACCCGGUGAUCUAGCCAUGGGCAGGUUGAAGGUUGGGUAACACUAACUGGAGGACCGAACCGACUAAUGUUGAAAAAUUAGCGGAUGACUUGUGGCUGGGGGUGAAAGGCCAAUCAAACCGGGAGAUAGCUGGUUCUCCCCGAAAGCU
Molecule: ribosomal RNA, 380 nt
Filed under: Klebsiella pneumoniae
Lineage: Bacteria; Pseudomonadati; Pseudomonadota; Gammaproteobacteria; Enterobacterales; Enterobacteriaceae
Also listed under: 1 other name
Description: partial 23S ribosomal RNA
Rfam family: Bacterial large subunit ribosomal RNA
Source: RNAcentral